RNAcentral lists this ribosomal RNA (450 nucleotides) under uncultured Glomeromycotina. Its description in RNAcentral is "SSU rRNA". It matches the Rfam family "Eukaryotic small subunit ribosomal RNA", at positions 569 to 1022 of the family's 1831-position model. Lineage: Eukaryota; Fungi; Glomeromycota. The record is from RNAcentral.
AGCAGCCGCGGUAAUUCCAGCUCCAAUAGCGUAUAUUAAAGUUGUUGCAGUUAAAAAGCUCGUAGUUGAAUUUCGGGAUCAAUAUUUCGGUCAUGCCGUUGGUAUGCACUGUUAUCAUUGAUUUCUCACCUUCUAAAGAACCGUAAUGCCAUUAAUUUGGUGUUACGGGGAAUUAGGACUGUUACCUUGAAAAAAUUAGAGUGUUUAAAGCAGGCUCACGCUUGAAUACAUUAGCAUGGAAUAAUGAAAUAGGACAUCCGAUUCUAUUUUGUUGGUUUCUAGGAUCGAUGUAAUGAUUAAUAGGGAUAGUUGGGGGCACUAGUAUUCAAUUGUCAGAGGUGAAAUUCUUGGAUUUAUUGAAGACUAACUACUGCGAAAGCAUUUGCCAAGGAUGUUUUCAUUAAUCAAGAACGAAAGUUAGGGGAUCGAAGACGAUCAGAUACCGUCGUA